RNAcentral lists this ribosomal RNA (506 nucleotides) under Salmonella enterica subsp. enterica serovar Kentucky. RNAcentral's name for it is "bacterial LSU rRNA". It matches the Rfam family "Bacterial large subunit ribosomal RNA", at positions 35 to 580 of the family's 2925-position model. The record is from RNAcentral. Lineage: Bacteria; Pseudomonadati; Pseudomonadota; Gammaproteobacteria; Enterobacterales; Enterobacteriaceae.
GGCAGUCAGAGGCGAUGAAGGGCGUGCUAAUCUGCGAUAAGCGCCGGUAAGGUGAUAUGAACCGUUAUAACCGGCGAUACCCGAAUGGGGAAACCCAGUGUGACUCGUCACACUAUCAUUAACUGAAUCCAUAGGUUAAUGAGGCGAACCGGGGGAACUGAAACAUCUAAGUACCCCGAGGAAAAGAAAUCAACCGAGAUUCCCCCAGUAGCGGCGAGCGAACGGGGAGGAGCCCAGAGCCUGAAUCAGCAUGUGUGUUAGUGGAAGCGUCUGGAAAGGCGCGCGAUACAGGGUGACAGCCCCGUACACAAAAGCGCAUGUGCUGUGAGCUCGAUGAGUAGGGCGGGACACGUGGUAUCCUGUCUGAAUAUGGGGGGACCAUCCUCCAAGGCUAAAUACUCCUGACUGACCGAUAGUGAACCAGUACCGUGAGGGAAAGGCGAAAAGAACCCCGGCGAGGGGAGUGAAAAAGAACCUGAAACCGUGUACGUACAAGCAGUGGGAGC